RNAcentral lists this unclassified non-coding RNA (824 nucleotides) under Hevea brasiliensis (rubber tree). Lineage: Eukaryota; Viridiplantae; Streptophyta; Magnoliopsida; Malpighiales; Euphorbiaceae. The record is from RNAcentral.
GAGCCUAGAAACCUGAACUGAUCAAAGCAGUGGACACUUGGAAACACACAGAAGCUUGGAGUGGCAAUUAUAGAGAGAGAGAGAGAAGGGUCACAUUCAAUAUUUUUAUAGUAUAAAACCCAAAAAUGCUGGAUUUCCCGUGAGUGCUGACAGGCCAAUAAAGCCAUAAACACCGCUAUCUUCAACGUUGUUUCACGCAUUUCCCUCUUCAUUUCCACUUCCAUAUUCAUCCAUCUAAAAGCUUACUUCAUCACUUUCCCCAACUCCUACGGAAUUUUUUCAUAUCUGGUGAUUUAAUCUUCAAGCCACCUUUUGCAUUUUUGAAGUGUGAUCCAUCAUCAUCGUCAUCAUCUUGUGGUUCUUGUGAGACUAUUGCAAUGGAUUGUUGCUGGGUGGCUUUAAAAGCCAAUACCCAUGUGGCGAAAGCUAGCAAAGAUGGUUUCAAGAGUGGAGAUAAGGAGUUUUGGGGUGAAAGGAUGAGGGGGAGUCUAAAUAACAGUGUUUGGUCCAAUCAGACGACAAGAAGCUUAAGAGCUAGAAGGAAUGUUAGUAAGGUUAAACCUGGUGUUGCUUAUGCUGUUUUAACAUCAAAUAAUCACAAGGAUGUUGUGGUAAGUUGUAAUUUGCAAUCUGUUUUUGUAGUUCUGACUGAACAUGAUCCAUUUUUUGGAUUUUAAUGAAUUGAAAUUUGUAUAAUUUAUGCUUUUGUUAAAUAUGAUCUCAUUCAUAAGUUUUGACCUUAGACCUUACAACCACCAAGUUCUGAGAGACGAAAAGUGGACCCAAAAAAUGUAGCAUCCAUCAUAUUGGGAGGAGGUGCAGGG